UUACGGCCAUAUCACGUUGAAACAGCAGUUCUGGUACGAUCACCGACUUUAAGCAACGUCGAGCUUGUUCAGUACCGAGAUAGAUGGCCACUUAGGAAUACCUGGUGCAGUAA
Acanthosepion pharaonis is the source of this 113-nucleotide non-coding RNA. Lineage: Eukaryota; Metazoa; Mollusca; Cephalopoda; Sepiida; Sepiidae. The record is from the annotation of a GenBank genome assembly.